UACGUAGGGUGCGAGCGUUAAUCGGAAUUACUGGGCGCAAAGCGUGCGCAGGCGGUUUUGCAAGCCGGAUGUGAAAUCCCCGGGCUCAACCUGGGAAUGGCAUUCGGGACUGCAAGGCUGGAGUGCGGCAGAGGAGACUGGAAUUCCUGGUGUAGCAGUGAAAUGCGUAGAUAUCAGGAGGAAUACCGAUGGCGAAGGCAGGUCUCUGGGCUGACACUGACGCUCAUGCACGAAAGCGUGGGGAGCAAACAGG
Molecule: ribosomal RNA, 253 nt
Filed under: uncultured bacterium
Lineage: Bacteria
Description: partial 16S ribosomal RNA
Rfam family: Bacterial small subunit ribosomal RNA
Source: RNAcentral